Molecule: long non-coding RNA, 546 nt
Organism: Zonotrichia leucophrys gambelii
Lineage: Eukaryota; Metazoa; Chordata; Aves; Passeriformes; Passerellidae
Exons: 3
Source: RefSeq, a predicted model, not a curated record
AGGACAGGAGCAGAGCGGCCGAGCACCUGCGCCGGGCCCUGCGCUACCUGGAGAGCCCACAGGAGCCCCUGCGAGAGGCGGCCGUCAGGUUCAUGGGCAUCGCCGGGGUGCUCCUCAUCGGGCAGCCAGGAGAGCUCCAGGUCAUCUGUGAGGCCCUUCAAGCCCUGAGGAGAGAUGACAACCCUUCACAGACAAACAUGGUUGUUCAACAGAUACUCAGUAAAAAAGCUGCAGAAAUGGCUCAGAAGAACCAGUAUUUCUUUAAGACCUCCAAAUGCAAUGGAAGAUGAGACUACCCUGAGAUCAGAAGAGACCAGCUGGAGCUCCAGACACAGCUGAUGAUUGGCACACCUGAACCUGCAGGAAACUUGCAUUGCUUCACCCCUCUCCCUGCUUAUAGAUAGCUCCCUCCCACCAGCCCUCAGCCUCUGCCCAGCCCUUCUUUUUCCCUCCACUCUCCCUCCCUGUGGACAACUCUUUCCCUUUAGCCCACAGCCUCUGCCCAGCCCUUCUUUUUCCCUCCACUCUCCCUCCCUGUGGACAACU